This 23699-nucleotide long non-coding RNA is filed under the name Triticum aestivum (bread wheat). RNAcentral describes it as "long non-coding RNA (TAES_LNC002002)". Lineage: Eukaryota; Viridiplantae; Streptophyta; Magnoliopsida; Poales; Poaceae. The record is from RNAcentral.
UCCAAGCUCAUUUUUCAGGGGAGGUUGGGUAUGAUGAGCUGAGCAGCAGCCCUAGCAGUGGAACCUGACAAGUUUAAGUUAAUUACACUCACUUGCACCACCUCACCUCACAUGUAAUGCACAUAACCAGCCAGGUAGUGGUACAAACAUUAGUUACCCAUAUAUACUUACCAAAUCAUUAUAGUUAUACAUGUUAUUAUAAACUACUAGCCGGCUCUCCAUUGCUGUCAUCAUCAUCAUGAUCAUCGACGACGACUGCACGUGAUGGGUGUCUUUGUUUUCUCCUCCAUGUCCCUUUCCCUGUGACUGUGAGUGGCGACCAACGCCUCCCUGAGUGGCCGAGUCCACAAGUAGCGCUGAUCAUAUUUUGGCGCCAAGCCCAUAACAUGGUGGUAAAUUUAACUCAGAAUGUCUGUCUGUCUGUAAAUUUAAUUAGGGAUGCAGCCAUGAUCGGUCGACAUGUGCUUGUGGGGCAGCGGCAACAUGCUGCGCCGUGUGGUGGCGGCAGGAGGGAGUAGCACGCCGGGGCAGAAAUCACAUAUUUGACCUGAGGGCCAAAUCAAAUCAUAAACUGACCUUGUUCCGAAAAAAUUUCACUUUGCUGAUCCUUUCGUGUGGCGCCACACACUACUAUGCAGCGCCUCUCUCUUGGGCGUCGCACCUCAUGCCAGCGUGGCAGCCCUGGUCCAGUUGCGGCCCCACAGACAGCACUGCAGCGCCUCAGACUUAGGCGCCACACUUGUAAUGUGCAGCGCCUAGCUCUUGGGCGCUGCACAGUCUGUGUUCCACUUAGGCUGGCCCCACCCUCUCUCCCAUCCCACCCCACACACCCCACCCCACACAAACCCUUAGCCUUGCGCCCCUCCUCUCUUCCCCUCUCCCCCCCCUCUCAAAUCCUUCUCAAAUCUUGCAAAUCCGAAGUAUUUGACCGUGGAUUUCGAAGCCAACCCCUCCCUUAAGGUAAUCUCCUUCGAUCCCCUCGUUUUCAUCCAUAGGAAUUGUCACAUUUGCUCAAAUAUUGCUACUUUGGGGAAACCCUAGUUUUGGCUUGGAUUUGCAAAUUUGUAUUGAAUCAUGUUAUGUUUCUUUGCUAAUUUGGGUUGGUUAGGCUUUCAUAGUAUGCUAGGGUUAGGGUUAUGUGUGUUUGAUGUUGGUGUUAGGGUUAUGCUAUGGUUAGGGUUGUGGUUAUUGUUAAGUGGGGGUUAGGGUUAUUAAUUCAUAUAUAUGUUAUGGCAUAUGUAUUUUGUGCAAAUAUUUUUUGUUAAGUACUUACUUGAUAUAUGUGUGUUUUUUAUUAUUGUAGGGAUGGGGAGAACAUGUGUUUAUGUUCAUCAUGUGGAUAAAGAGGCCUUUUUGAAAGGCAAUGUUGAGCCGGACCCGGAUGAGCUUGACAUGAUGUUUGAGAGUAGUCCAAGCUAUGCGGAGCUCUUGGACCAAGUGAGGAAGGAUUUGAAUUGGAUGGACCCAAGUGACGUUGUUGAGUUCGAGGGAAGGCAUAAUGUUGGUUUUGGAAUGCACAUCCGUUGGAAGACAAUGCGUGUGAACUCCGAGCAACGUUGGGUUGCAUACAAGGAGACGGUUGCCGAAUCUCUAGACAAGGCUCUUGAGUUAUUUGCCUCCAAGAAGGUUGAGUCUACUUUGAAUUUGGACUUGAACAGGAACCCCUCCCUGUUGGUUGCUAGCACUCCACCACCCAUGAACCAAGAUCAAAUGAGUGAACCUCAUUUCACGCAACAAGAUUGGCCAACAUUGAGCCCGACUCCAAACAACCAAAAUGAAGGUUUUGAAGAGGAGAAUGAUGAGUACGAGGAGGAUGACAACGAAGUUGAUCUCCAUGACAACAAUGUGGGUGAUCUCGACCAAUAUCAUGUGCAAGAGACAAUGGACCAAUCCAUCCCUUUUUCCCGUGCAUAUGCAUCGGACUCGGAUGACGAUGGUCCCGAUGAAGAAGUUGAUGAGGAGGGGUUCACACCGAAGGAGGCCCAAGCAUUCAAGAAGGUAUUCGGGCGGGAUCACAAGACACCAUUGUUCAAGGAUCUUAGUCUCGCGGAUGAAGCCGUUGUGGAUGGUGGCAAAUGCAUAUCUCUUGGAGCUAGGCCAAGUUCUCACCGGGAUUUGGAAGACGGCAAGAACGGGAUAUAUCCCGGUUGUGAGUUUCAAUCCUUCUUGGAAUUGAAUAUGUGGCUCGACAACUACUCGGUUACGCAUUAUCGUCCACAUAAAGUGGCCAACUCGGACGUCAAUGUGUGUUACACGGUCAAAUGUGAAGUGCCAAGUUGUCCAUGGAUUGUGCGUGCAAGGCCAUGGAAAGGAGGUCCCACUUGGCGCAUAGUGAGUUGUCUACCAAAUCACAUGUGCCAGCACAAGAAUGCGGAUGGCAAGCUUGUGUACCAACAACAUAGACAACUCACGUCCGAGUUCAUCGCUUAUAGGCUUUCCAACCAAAUAUCCACACUUCCAACAAUGAGCAUCAAGAGUGUCAUUGACCUUGUGAAAGCCAUCUUUCAUUACAAGGUAAAGUACGGCAAGGCAUGGAAGGCAAAGCAAGCCGCAUUCAAGAUGUUGUAUGGCAAUUGGGAGGAAGCAUACAACCGACUCCCUAGGUUGUUGUUAGCUAUGGCCACCACAAACCCAGGCAUGGUUCACGUGGUUGAGCCUCAUGGGCACCAAACAUUGAUUCACAACGGGAGGACCGUCCGAGUAUUUGGCCGUGCAUUUUGGGCCUUUGAGCAAUGCAUGAGGGCUUUUGAGCAUUGUCGGCCCGUCAUCGCCAUUGAUGGCACGUUCUUGACCGGACAAUACAAGGGCACUUUAUUGGUUGCAAUAGCAAGUGAUGCCAAUAACCGGGUGUUGCCUUUGGCUUUCGCUUUGGUUGAGGUGGAGAACAAUGAUAACUGGGAGUGGUUCUUGCGUCAAUUGAGAACAAGGGUAUUACCGGCUGAAAGGGAAAUUUGUGUCAUAUCGGAUCGCCAUCCAGGAAUUCUAAAUGCGGUGGUGGUUGACAUUCCCAGACAUAGAAAGUUGCACCAUCGAUGGUGCAUGAGGCACUUUUGUGCAAACUUCUAUAGGGCAUGUGGUAUCAAGGAGUUGGCCGAUGAUCUUCAAGAUUGUUGUCUCGCUUUCACCAACAAGCGGUUUGCCACAUUGUUCAAUGCAUUGCUCAGACACAAGAAACUUGACCCCGGUGGUCAUGAAUUUCUCAGUAAGAACAUUGUCGAAAGGAACAUGUGGGCAAGUGCUUUCGAUGAAGAUGGCCGGAGGUACGGUCAAAUGACAAGCAAUAUGGCAGAAUGCUUCAAUAAGGUGCUCAAGGGUGUACGUGCUUUACCCGUGACGGCAAUAGUUCAAUACACAUUUGACAAGAUGAAUGGAUACUUUUUGAAGUAUUCAAUGGAGACGAAUAAGAAGAUUGCUGAUGAGAACAAGGAUAAGAACAAGUACUAUUUCCCACCAAAGGUUGAAGAAUGAUUGGACUUUCAAUCACGAAAGACAGACUCCCAAGAAGCUGUACUAUAUGACGACAACGAGUGGAAGUAUGAGGUGAAAGAGCCUGGAGGAACCACAAACGAUGGCCACCAACACGGAGGCCGCGCUUUCAAGGUCUCCCUAACACGGUGUGAUUGCAGCUGCAUGAGGCCAUCGUUGCUUCAUAUCCCAUGCUCGCACUUGUUAAAUGCAGCCCGUGUUAGGAAUGUGGACGUCAAUCACCCUCUUACCGUGAGGGAGUCCGAGUUCUCAAUCAUGACGGUAAAGAAUACAUGGGCUCCCCGGUUUCAGCCAUACUUGGACCAAUCACAAUGGCUGGAGUAUCAUGGAGUUCAACUAUGGCCGGACCCGGAAUUGAAGGUCGUUAGACGGGGAAGACGUAAGAUAAAGCGUCUUAGAGGUGACAUGGACGGAUGGGGCCGUGGUGGUGGUGGAGAAUACGGCACCGGCCAAUUCCAAGAGCCUCGUGAGCAAUCCUGUUGUGGGGACUGCAGUCAUGGGGGACACAACACAAGAACUUGUCCCAAAUCAAGAAAAAGAUCAAAGAAAAAUGAUGCAAGCACAAGCCAAGUAAAUGAUAGCCAACCAAGUCAACCAAGGAGUAGCCAACCAAGUCAAACAAGCCAACGAGGCACUAGGCAACAAAGAGGUCGUGGUGGUGGUAGAGGCCGUGGUGGUGGUAGAGGCCAUGGUGAUGGCCUAGGCCGUGGGGAUGGUCUUGGCCGUGGUGAAGGCCUAGGCCGUGGUGAUGGUCUAGGCCGUGGUGGUGGUGGUAGAGACCAUGGUGAUGGUCUUGGCCGUGGUGAAGGCCUAGGCCGUGGUGAUGGUCUUGGCCGUGGUGGUGGCAGAGGCCGUGGUGGUGGUCUAGGCCGUGGUGGCGGUAGAGGACAUGGUGGCGGUAGAGGCCGUAGUGGUGGUCUAGGCCGUGGUGGUGGUAGAGGCUGUGGUGGUGAUCUUGGCCUUGGCGGCGGCCGUUGUGGAGGAAUGUUCACUUGGCUCAAUGGACCAUUGCCGUAUGUGACUUACUAUGAUCUUGUUCUUUUGGCUCAAUGCUUGUGUUGUCAUUUUGCAUUGUGUGACUAACUAUUAUAUUGACAUUUUCAUAGGUAUGGAAACAAUGAAGGGGGUGGAGGACACGGAGGCGAAAGGUGAGCUCCCUUGGUGGUCNNNNNNNNNNNNNNNNNNNNNNNNNNNNNNNNNNNNNNNNNNNNNNNNNNNNNNNNNNNNNNNNNNNNNNNNNNNNNNNNNNNNNNNNNNNNNNNNNNNNNNNNNNNNNNNNNNNNNNNNNNNNNNNNNNNNNNNNNNNNNNNNNNNNNNNNNNNNNNNNNNNNNNNNNNNNNNNNNNNNNNNNNNNNNNNNNNNNNNNNNNNNNNNNNNNNNNNNNNNNNNNNNNNNNNNNNNNNNNNNNNNNNNNNNNNNNNNNNNNNNNNNNNNNNNNNNNNNNNNNNNNNNNNNNNNNNNNNNNNNNNNNNNNNNNNNNNNNNNNNNNNNNNNNNNNNNNNNNNNNNNNNNNNNNNNNNNNNNNNNNNNNNNNNNNNNNNNNNNNNNNNNNNNNNNNNNNNNNNNNNNNNNNNNNNNNNNNNNNNNNNNNNNNNNNNNNNNNNNNNNNNNNNNNNNNNNNNNNNNNNNNNNNNNNNNNNNNNNNNNNNNNNNNNNNNNNNNNNNNNNNNNNNNAGAAGAAGAAGAAGAAGAAGAAGAAGAAGAAGAAGAAGAAGAAGAAGAAGAAGAAGAAGAAGAAGAAGAAGAAGAAGAAGAAGAAGAAGAAGAAGAAGAAGAAGAAGAAGAAGAAGAAGAAGAAGAAGAAGAAGAAGAAGAAGAAGAAGAAGAAGAAGAAGAAGAAGAAGAAGAAGAAGAGAGGAAGAAGAAGGGACAAGGACCAUGACCUUUUCUAUGAACCAAAAUAUGUGCUACUAUGUGAUAUGAGACGUAAAUGACUAUGUCUUUUUGGCUAAUUGUUUGUGUAUGAGUAUGUGAUUUGGACUACUACAUGUGAUCUGGAUAUGAUUAUGUGCCAUCUAUGUGAAUCACAAAACAUAAAAAUCACUUUGUAUAUGAAAACAGCAGAUAGUGCAACGCCUAAGGCCGAGGCGCUGCACAUUACAGUGCAGCGCCCCUCCCAAAAUUUUGCUAAGUCAGUCCGCAGCGCCUAAGGGAGGGGCGCUGCACUGUAAUGUGCAGCGCCUCACGCCUGGGCGCUGCACAGUACAGAGCAGCGCCUAUCCCUUGAGCGUUGCACACUCACUUAGCAUUUUUUUUGGGCAGAAAACAUACUGGAAGCUUCUGUUGCUCUCUGGACUGGGAUGUCCAGUAGUGCAGCGCCUAAAGGGAGAGGCGCCACACACCAUAGUGCAGCGCCUACCCUUUAGGCGCUGCACUACUGGACAUCUAUUUGCUGCACUCACCUCCCUCCCACCCAUCCCCACCCCACACACCCCCACCCCCACACAAACCCGAAGCUCAGUGCCUCCCCUCUGCCCUCCUCUCCCCCCUCUCAAACCCUCCUCAGAUCCGGAGUAUUUGACCGUGGAUUUCGAAGCCAAACCCUCCCUUAAGGUAAUCUCCUCCGUUCCCCUCGUUUUCGUCCAUAGGAAUUGUCACAUUUGCUCAAAUCUUGCUACUUUGGGGAAACCCUAGUUUUGGCUUGGAUUUGCAAAUAUUUGUUGAAUGAUGUUAAGUUUCUUUGCUAAUUUGGGUUGGUUAGGCUUUCAUGGUAUGCUAGGGUUAGGGGUAUGUGUGUUUGAUGUUGGUGUUAGGGUUAUGCUAUGGUUAGGAUUGUGGUUAUUGUUAAGUGGGGGUUAGGGCUAACCAAGAAUUAUCAGUUUUAUAGGCAUGGCUUCAUCCGGUUCCAUGACGAGGCCACUGUGUGCUAACCAAGAAGACAUGCCGAACAAGUGGGAGGACGCAUCUUUGGACAAGGUGAAGGAGAAAGAUGCCAACAUCCCGCCAUGUUGGUGUGGAGAUGUUUGCAAGGUGAAGGUAUCCACCGACCGAAAUAAAUCAUGGACGGAAGGGCGGAGAUAUUUUGUAUGCCCGAACUAUGCUUAUGAUCGUGCACUUCCAACUAACGCCUAUGACCAACCACCGGUAAGCUCGAGAAGUAAAAUGUUACUAUCAAAUGUGUGUCAACACUAACAAAAAUUUUAUAUGCAGUCACCGCCUCCUCUAUGCAAGUACUUCACGUGGAUAGAUCUUGAAGUGCCAGAAGAUGUCAAAAAGGACCAAUACCAAGAUUGUCUUAGGCGGCAACGGCGGUUCGAAGAAUCGUUUCGAAGAGGCUUGGAGGAAGAGCGUCGUCAGAAGGAGAGGAUGGAGCGGAAGAAACGAGAGGAGGAGAGGGCACGCCAAGCGAAACUUGCUCGUGAGGAGGAGAGGGCAAGAAAGCUUGCAAAGGCUCGCGAGGCGCAAGAGAAGGACUCGGCCCGUGACAAGAAGGGGAAAUGGCCUCGCUCUACUCAGUAGGGACUUCACUUCGGUGCACUCGUCGUGAAUUUGUGAGGGCAUGUGAGAUGUUGGUGAACUAUCUUCUAGGGCAAGCUGCCAUUUGUCAUUUGUAAUGAAUGUGUCGUGAACCAUGUCGUAGUAAUGUUUGAAUUGUCUUAAGUUAUGAACUCAUUGGCAUAAAAUUUUUGUUUGUUCAAAUUGUUGUGAUGAUGCAGUCAUUGUAAGUAUUAUGAUGUUCCGGUGAAAUGAAUGUACUGUCAACUCUGUUUUUGCAGUAAACAACCGUGCAACGCCCAAAACAAAGGCGCUGCACUGUUCUAUGCAGCGCCGAACGGACGGACAUCACACUGUAAAGUGCAGCGCCUUGCUCUGGGGCGCUGCACUAUGACUUGGUAAUUUUCGUGGAUCUUGAGUGCUCAAAGCCUUCUGUGGCCCUAUGGGCAGCCAUGGCCAGUGAAGCAGUGCCUAUGGGACGGGCGCUGCACUGUGAGGUGCAGCGCCUAGGCUUUGGGCGCUGCAUAGUACAGUGCAGCGCCUGACUGUCAGGCGCUGCAGUGCUGUUAACUGCCAAACUACAGAAACAAAUUCCAUUUUGGCAAAUACAAAUACUGAACAAUUCAACUGAACAAAGACAACAUCAUUUAGGACAAAUACUGAACAAAGACAACUAAUAAUUUGAACAUCACAUCAUUUAGGACAAUUCAACGUUACUACUAGUUCGGAAACACAAAUACCACAAUAGUAAGAGUUCACCAACAUAUAACAUAACCCAACAAGUUCAUCAACCUAACGAAGCGGCUACAAGAGAGCACUUCCAUAGUAACACACACUAAUGCCUUCCGCGCGUGUUCUUGGUGCCACGCCUGCAGGCAAUCUUCUUCUUCCUGGAUGGACGAGCCUCCUCUUCCUGCACUUCCUCCUCCGCCUCCGCCUCAUGAUCCAAGCUAGCCAUCCGCGAGGUCCCUACGACCACCUUUGGGUUGCCUCUGUUGUCAAAGUUGUUGGGCGUGUACCGGCAUCUGGGCUUCCUAGGCUUGAACACAUAUGGGGAUCGAAGUUGAGCGUCCGCCAAAGUCAUGUCAUCAUCAAGCUCAUCGCGCUAUCACACAAUCAAACAAUAUGGUGAAGACCGACGUCGUAAUCAAGUGAGAAUCACAUCUAAAGGAUUAGUCAUACCUCUUGGGUGACCGCACCCUCAUCAUCCUGAUAAGCAUAUGAGGAACUCACAUCGUCCCUCUGAUGGUGAGAUGAGAGGUCUGAUGGUGUACCAGACCUAGAGGCAGAUGGUUCAUCAAUUUCGGGAUCACGGCAACUGAGAAGAUUCGAUAACCGCCUUAACUUCCUGGCCUGACACUGUAACAUGAACAAGUGUGGAAGAUAUGAAACUCCGCAACAUAGACUACCUCUCAUAGUGAAUGCGAUUUGUACCUUGAGGAAUGCUCGUAGUGGACCAUCAUCAUUGCCUUUUCCAACCGGUGUUUCCUCCAGAAUAGACUGGCUCUCAUCAGCUGCUUUCUUGAUCUCGGUGCGCUGCGGAUGAGAAAGAAUGAACACGUUAGCCAUUCAAACAUGUGUAAUACGGCCAACGGGAAAGUAAAGAAGAAACACUUUACCACAUAGUUAAUCACCGGAACAGCAGAGACUCCGUGCCCUACCCUGACAUCUCUGUUGUACUUCCCCUUUGAUAGAUCCUCAAAGUUUACGGGUUCUUCAAGAAUAUCCUCAUUAUAUGCCGGCGGGCAUAUCUCAACUCGAGUAUUUUCAAGAAGCCAUCGUAUGUAGUUAUCAAAAGCAAGUGGACUAUGCUCACGAAGCUUGGCGCGUGCACUGCUACGAGCUUCCUCCACACAAAGCUGGAAGCGGGUAACAUACAAAGCAUGAUGCUUGUCCCAGUCCUUUAUCUUCCGCUGCCUUCUCCUGUCCAACCUGCAUGGUACAAAACCAAACAUUAGCAAAAUCAAGGAGUGACGAUGCUUAGUCAAUACGGUUCAUGUUGUCUUACCUAUGAAGUGCUUUGUCCGUAUCCACCCAUUCCGGCGGGUGAGGCUGGAACAGACCAAACUGACGACACACACGAUGUGGCAAAUGAAACUCAACAGCCCAGUUGCAUAUCAGUGGGCGCCGCAUACGCCAGAGAUCCCUAUCCCGCAAGCACAUCGAGUUGAUGGUAAACUCCGGGGUGUACCCAAGUCUGUCAUCGGCGCCAUAUGGCUGCCAUUCCACCUAUGAAAUAGGGCAACAAUGCAAAAUUGGUGAAUUUUUUCAGGCAAACAUGAGAAAUGACUGAAGUAAUGACCUCGUUACCUGCUCAGGCGUAAUCGUGUCCAACUCGGCAACGUACUUCUGGUACAUGAGAUUGACAUCGUUCGUCAUCUCGGAAACCACAUCCCACUUGUAAGCCCAAGUGGGCCGCCGUAAUUCGUCAUCUUCAUCUUCAUACCAAGGAUUAAACCUGACGCUUUUCGGGCGUCCAACAGGCAGACGCUCCCAGCUCCAUACAGAAAGUAGAAGCAUAUUACCGCCAAUGCCUGCACUAUCUGUGAUCCUGCAACACGCAUCGUCCAGCUGCAUAUGAAAGAAAAACAAUGUUAACUUGACAGCAAGCUUGCAUUGCUAAUGAAGAAAUGAGUUGAUCACAAAACAGACCAACUACCUGUCGGUACAAGUAGGCAAGAGUCGCUGAACCCCAGCUCCAUUUGCUAUCGAAGACGGUCAACGCCUUCAGCCACAUCCAUGGAGCGUUCUUGCCAGUGGAGUCAGGAAACAAAGUCCUCGACACAACAUACCACAUGUAGACACGAGCAUGUGUCUGGAUCACGUCAUCAGUGGCAUCCGGAGGGCACGUCGCAAAGUGAGUUUGAAUCCAUGUGAAAGCAGCUCCGGCUGCUUUCCUUUCCUUCUUCUUCUUCUUCUCUUCUCCCUCCUCUACAUCAGCCUCAGCCUCGGUAGGAGCCAUACCGAUAAGAGCAAUCAUCUGCUCGCGCCACCCAUCAGAAUCGGUGCUCAUACAGAGAGGCAUCCCGUCGAUAGCAAGACCGGUGAUCAACGAGACAUCCUCGAGCCUCACGGUCAUCUCCCCAGUCCGAAGAUGGAAACUAUGCGUCUCCGGCCUCCACCGAUCAGCAAGAGCGGACACCAGUGGAGCGUUUAGAUUCGGCGUGGACCGACUGACCAACUGAAUCCACGGGAGUAGUCCUGCCUGCUUGAUGUACGGUGUGUACCGCUCAUCGUAAGGCAUGGCAGGACCAGAGACCCCGUGAUACCGAAUCUUCAAAGGUUCAAGCUUCUGCAAAAAACAAGUAAUGACAAAUCUUAGGGCAUGUAAAUUUCAACUUAAGGCAAAAUAUUUAGAUUACUCGUUAUUACCACCUCCUUCUCGCGCAUCAUGUAGGCCCGGUGUUUCGUGUCGUAGACAUCGUCGAGAAGCCAAACAUCCUUACAAAGUUCAAACAAUAAACAUAUAUGAGUUCAUCUUCAUCUCAAAUAUCGGUAUACACUAAACAUCUAAUAUGUGUUCAAUUACAAGAAUCUCAACAUCUCCUUCUCACACAAUGAAUAUGUCAUAUGUGUUCAAAUAAACUCAACAUCUAAUAUAUAUCUAAAAAAACAGAUCAUAUAUCUCUACAAAACUCAACAUCUCAUUGUUAUCUAUAUAAAUAGGCAUCUCAUAUAUAUAUAUAUACACACAUAUAUAUACACACAUAUAUAUAUACAUAUAUACAUAUACAUAUAUAUAUAUAUGUAUAUGUAUAUAUAUAUAUAUGUAUAUAUAUAUAUAUAAACAAAACAAUCUAUGAUUUCACUAACAAGAACUAUAUAUUGUGAACUAAGCAACAACACUACGGUACUACCACUAUGACUACACAUCCUAAAUCAAGCAAAUCAAGGGUUCCAUCAAAUCUUGGACAAAUCUCUAAAAUGGCAACAAAUUUACGGAGGAAAAGAAAGGAAACGGAGGAGUUUACCUAGUAGGAUGGAUUGGAGAUCGAAUCCACAGAUCAAAUCUUCAGAUCUGAGAGGGAUGUGGGGGGAUUCGAUGGGGGCGCCGCCGCUGCUCUCUGUUCAGAGAGCGGAGAGGGGGAAGAACUGCCUGGCCGGGUUGGGCCGAUGCGCUUUAACUCAUUGUGCAGCGCCCAAGAGCUAGGCGCUGCACAUUACAAGUGUGGCGCCUAAGUCCGAGGCGCUGCAGUGUUGUCUGUGGGGCCGCAACUGGACCAGGGCUGCCACGCUGGCACGAGGUGCGACGCCCAAAAGAGAGGCAAUGCAUAGUAGUGUGUGGCGCCCAGCUGUCGGGCGCCACACGAAAGGGUCAGCAGAGUGAAUUUUUUUUAAAACAAGGUCAGUUUAUGAUUUGAUUUAGAUCUCAGGUCAAAUAUGUGAUUUCUGCCGUACACCGGCGCCGGAGCGCUUUUGCUUGCCUGCCGCUGCCGGUGCUGGUCGAGGUUGACCCUACUAACAUGCGCCUAGGCGUUUUGCCUGCGCCUCUCUGCUGCGGUUGUGUAUUUAUUUUAGCACUGCUGCUAUUAUACUGUGCAACACUUCUCUUUCUGCCGCUGCUGCUGCUGCUUCUGGUAAAGUAUGAUGGUCAGACACUAGGAGACGAUCAAAGCGACAUUGAGCAUGGCCAUAAUGUUCGCCCUCACGCCCCCGUUUGCUUUUCUUUUUCAUCGUUUUAGAAAAGAUCCGGAUCUAUAAUAAAUUAUAAAGGUUACCAGAAGUACGAACCAUCCCAAUCAUGAAAAGAAAAUUACGUCAAGAUCUCUGGACCACGGAACUGUCGCCAAAACAAGCCACUCGCGCGGUGCUGUCGCUGCUUCCAUACCGGAGCCGGCCGACCUUGUUAAUGACGGGCGAAAGAGGUUUCGUGUAUGUGCCCCCAAGGACCGGCCCUGGAGCCUCGGUCAUUGUUUUUGCCUCCUUGACUCGGUUUGAAAAAUCUGGCACCAAAUCUCACCGUCACGCCCCGUUUGCGUCUAUUUAAAGCGACAUUGAACAUGGCCAUAAUAUUCGCCCUCAUGCCCCCGUCUGCUUUUUUAAUUGUAAUAAAUGUUACCAUAAGUAUGAACCAUCCCACUCGUGGAAAAAGUUACGUCGAGAUCUCUAGACCAUGGAACUGCCCCCAAAACAAGCCACUUACACGGUGAUGCCACUGCUUCCAUAUUGGAGCCGGCCGACCUUGUUGAUGAUGAGCGAGAGAGGUCUCAUGCUUGUAUCCUAAGGAGUGGCCCCGGAGCCGCAGUCGUUUUUUGACUUCUUGACUCGGUUUGAAAAAUAUGGCACCAAACCUCACCGUCACGCCUAUUUACCCUUGUCCGAUCAUCAUCUCCCGUGAAGUGACUAGCAGCCGUUAAAUCCGAAAUUCUAGCCGGCCUUGUCCUUCCCUUUUCAUCCCGUUCAAUUUACCAUGCAUGCAUGCAUGGCCAAAAGCCAGCGGAGUUCUGAGCCUCUGAUCGUCUCGUCAUGUUUACGUGGACCUGGAGACCGGGAGCUGCUGCUCUACUUCAUCGUGCUUGCUUGCGCACGGUGUGUAUGGUAUGGACAAGAGGGACGCGCCACCAACCUAUCCAUAGACGUGGGUGGUCAUGCUAGAAAUAUAUAUCAUGUAAUGUAUUACAAGCAAAAUGUCCGCACUUUCUCCAUCUAGGUUUACUAGCUUGCUCUCCAAUGACCUCUCUGAUCCUCAUCGCAAAAAGAAAAUGACCUCUCUGAUCCAGGCAGUGGCGAAGCCACCCCAAAAAAUUCAAUUGGGCCAUCGCUAAUUUUUUUGAAAAAUAAAUCUUCACAAUAUACAAUAAGUGUAUGGUGUUCUUAGGUUAUUUUUCUCAAAAGUUAUGGAGUCAACUGACCCCACGGCUUACACAUAGAAACGCCACCGGAUCCAGGGAUGAUGACCAUAUGAUAAUCAAGGGUGAAAAAACAAGAUCAAUGAUUUUGGCUGGCUGUUGUACUCCCUCUGGUUCUUUUUAGUUUGCAUAUAAGAUUUGACUCAAGUCAAGCCUCGUAAAGUUUGACCAAUUUUAUAAAAAAAAAGUACCAACAUUCGCAACCUGAAAUCAAUAUCAAUAGAUGUGUCAUGACUUAAAAUUUCAUAUUAUAUAACUUUAGCAUGGCAGAUAUUGAUAUAUUUUUCAUAUAAAUACGGUCAAACUUUGUGAAGUUUGACUUCAGAAAAUUCUAAUAUGCAGAGCAAAAAAGGACCGGAGGGAGUACCUUUAUAGGUUGAACACUUGAUCAAAUCUUCACCACAAGAACUUGAUUGCGGAUCAAAGUUUCCCAAGAUGCUCAUUGUCAUCCGUUGUGUGGACAGCGGGACGGGUAUGUAAAUAUGCUUUCGCCCCGCUUUAUAGGUAAAGCCAAAUUCGUUCCGAGCUAUUAUAUUUCUAUUUCUAUUUCUAUUUCUAUUUCUAAGGAGAGCAUUGCAUGUGACAAAAUAACGUAAAACAUUCCCGAAGCUGCUACCAGCUAUGGCCGCCCUAAUCUCUAGAGCGGAAGACAAACUCUGCAAAAGCACCCCAAUCACACACCCAACAACCAAAUCCUCAACAGCAGCUUCAGCCUGCUUGACUGAACAAAAUGGACGCGCGCUAGCUUUGUUUAGGCUUAGCAAUUGCCAGCGCCCGGCAGCGUGGCGCCACGAGCUAAACUACAAACAACACUGUACUAGUAUGAAUUUUUAUUAUUUCUGGCGUUCGUUAUAUUGCCAUGAUCGAAGAUGAAUAGAUUAAAAGUUUCUCGAGAAAAAAGACAUACGGCUGACGAGAAGUUCCCCACACGACACGACAGUGUCACACGCAAAUGAGCCUCCAGGACUGAUGUGGAAAGAUGAGGGCAUCUCCAGCCGUUGGCCCCCCAGGGGGCGUCUAAAAGCGCCGCCUGGGGGUGAGCCGGCGCAAAAAAUGGCCCUGGGGGCGAGUCGGUCCCCAGCCGUCGGCCCCUAGGGCCGUCCCCAGGCGCGUAUUAAAAUAAAAAAAGAAGGACCGUUCGGCGAAGUUAUGAUAAAAACUAGUUAAAUUUCGGCCAAACAUGACAAAUUUCGAUGAAAUUCGCGCAUUUUCAUUACAUUAACCUAAUCUAAAAAAGAAAGGGGCUGAAGUCGUCGCCGCCAUCGUCGUCGUCGGCCUUCUCCUCCUUGACGCAGGCGCCCCUGCUGGACCCCUGCCCGGCGUCGCCAUGGCGAACUGGCGGCGGCGCGUCGUCGUCGUGGUCGCUGUUGCAUAAGACGACGACCCCGUCUUCAUCGCGGCCGCGUCGGCGCUCCUCGAAGCGGCGUAGGGCGGCACGCUGGCGCUCCUUCUCCUUCUUCCGGCGUGCCUUCUCCAUCGCAAUGGAGUCCUGGCACGCCCAUUCUAGGGCCGCGUCGUCGUCGUCGAACUCCGCCUUCACCGGCGCCACCCCGGCUCCAUCUUUGGCUUGACGAAACGCGGAGGAGCCGACGAGGAGGAGGCGCGCCGGCCGCCCUCGUUGAUGACGAUGCCGACGCUGCUAGUGCGCCGACCGAUUGGCGUCUCCGCCGCGGGCUAUGCCUUGACGCCGAGAAGCGCCGGAGAACCGGAGGAGUGGGAAGAUGAGCGAGAGGAGGAAGACGAGGAGGAGGCGAACCUCCUUGGCGCCCAUCCCCGUCGCAGGAUAGGUCAACGGCGGGUUGUUGCCGCCGUCGAGAUACGCCAGCAUGCCAUCCAGCGUGCGGCCGGGGACGCCCCACCACAGGCGGCGCCCCUCGCUGUUCUUCACGCCGCCGACCCCCGGCGCGCCGUUGGUGGAGGCCAGGCGCUGCUGCUGGCGGCGCUGGAAGUACGCCGCCCAAGCCGCGUGAUUGCCGGCGGUGUACUAGGGGAGGGAGCGCUCGUCGUCGGUCAAGGAGGCGCGCGCGACCUCGACCUCCUCGGCGAAGUACCUGGGCUUCGCCACGGCGUUGGGUAACGGGGGAACGGGCACUCCCCCGUCGCUGAGCCGCCACCCCGUCGGCCCGACGCGCAUGUCCGGCGGCGCGCGGGAUGUUCGCCUGGAACAUGAGCCAGGAUUCCUGUUCGCGGAGCGAACGGCGGCCGAAGCCAUUCACCGCCGCCUCAUCUCUGGGGAAGCGCUCUGCCAUGGCGACGGGCUCGGCGGUGGUAGAGAGGGAGCGAGAGGGGCUGCCGGUGGCGCUCGGGAGAGGAAGACGGAGACGGAGAGAGAGGGGCUGGGCGGCGGCGAGGGGCGAGUCUGGUGUGGGCACAGGCGACCGCCGGCUUUUAUAGCCGCUCCGCGCCCGUGUGUACGCGUGCGAGGGAGGGGAGGCGUCGGCGCGCCGUCCCGUGACGCGCCGCCCGUGAGAAAUCAACGGCAAGGCUGACCGGCGGCAGCCUUGCCAUUGAUUCCCCACGGGAACCGAGGCAGUUGGGGGAAGACGAGCCGCCGUGUCCCUGACGCGGUUGGCCCGUGACUUUUUCGCGCCAAAACAGUUCGCCUCGGCGCCUCCGAGCGCGCCGGGUUCGGCCUGGGUCCGCCGGCGCUGUUUUCGGCCCAGGCCGGCGAAAAUCGGGCUCAUGAGGGCGCGACUGGGCCGUUUUUUCGAUGCCGACGCAAAAAACCGUCUGGGAGGCCUUCGUGGAGGCGCGGCUGGAGAUGCCCUGAUACUACUACUAGGAGGCAAUGACAUGAGCCUUUUUUUAUUCAAUGCCUACUAAGGCUGGUUGUAAUGGGAAGUAUCAUAUACUAGUAUAAUGCAUAUGAUACUAGUGUAUGAUACUACCUCCCUAAUGUAUAGUAUCGUAUAUUAGUAUCAUGUAGUACUCUAUUUAUUGUCAUGCAUGACACAAAGUAGCAUAUCAUUUAUUAUGAUACGGUAUCAUGAUAUGAUACUACACCAUUUUUUUAUUCAUUUAAUGCUAUGACACCUCAUCAAAAUUGCCUAGUUGGCAUGCGUGAUACUAGCUAUGAUACUAUCAUUACAACCAGCCUAAAAAAUAGACGUAUGGGGCUCAUACGGGGUGUCCUCCACCCGCAGACAAUCCUAGGCAUUGGCAUACGACCCUCCUAGCAUUGACUCAGUGGGAGGACUAUUUAUUUAUUGAAAAAAGGCGCUCCAAGUACACACUCGAGGCUACCACCGUAAAAAAGAUGGGUACUUUUCUCUAUGCGCUAAAUGCUUUUCCGCUCUCGGACCUCUCUACACGGACUAGUAGCAGCACUAGAGCGCAUCAGAUUGGUCCACCGCUCUGCUCGAGUGGGGGAAACUGACAGACGCCUACCCUAAAACUGAUGAAAUGUCCAGUGUUGCGGUUACACUCGAUAUUGUACGUAUUGCCUUCUCUGUGAAAUGGAUUAGGUUUACUGAGGCAAUCAUCACUAGUAGUACAUGCACAUGCACACGUACGAUGUCUCCCUUAGGCGGCGGCGGCAGCUAGGGUUUUGACCUCCUGGAGUAACUUGACACGGGAGAGGAAGAAUUCGAUGAUUUGGUAACCGAUGAGGAGGACCCGGUGAUCAAUGAGUGUGUGCUGGCUUGCCCGAGCACACAUGCAUAGUGAGAAAUCUUUCAGCCAGGCAGCAUUCUUCCGUGAUCAAAUUACGGCAGUAGAUGAGGCAAGAGGAGGCAAUAGAGGUGUGGCGGCCAUGAGGAGCACUCCAUCUGGUUGGGGUGCGGGUGUCGCCACACAUAGCUCCAAGGAUGGGGACGAUCCCAGAGGGAUACAACCACUAGUCCAUUCAAGAAUAACACUGCUAUGUUCCACGGAAAAUUUGGAGAGAUCAAAUUACGGCAGUAGAUCAUUUGGCUGUUUACAGUUGUAAUGAGUAUUGCAUGACUGUAUGGAUGAACAGAGAUCCUCCAUGUAUUGUACUGAGUAUUGCACGAGUGAAUGCAACCCUAUUGCAUUGUAAUGAAACCUCCCUUUCUUCUCGAAAAAAACUGAGAAAAAAAAGUCAAUCAUGUCCCAAAAAAACCGUUUGGAUUCGCCUAACGUUAGGUGGUCAACGUGCGGUGGAGAGCACAUGGACUCGAGUAGGCAAAGGAUUGUUUAUAUUCUCCAAACGUGGAUCAAUGGAUUGCUUUUCAUCACUGAAUCACCGCGUGCAAGGGAGAGAACCCCCCAGGAGGAAAAGUUUCCACAAGGAAAUAGCCCUGCAAAAUCUCUGCAAAAUUCCGAAACGAUCACCGGCCAAAGGAACACCGUGGGCUCGUGCACCUGCCGACCUCGAUCUCGCCAAUCACCACCGCACCGGCGCCACCAAUGGCCUCCCCGACGACACGCAUUAAAUGCCCGCCAUUGCCACCCACUCCGCCAAAAGCGCGCCUCGUACGUCACGCGCCCCCUCCCUCGUCACUCACCCGCCACAACCGCUCGCCGUCCGUCCGUCCGUCCACCGCCGUCUCACCCACCAGCUCAGUUCAACAGUAGUGCACUCCUCCCUCUGCCCGGCCGUGCCGUUUGACCUCGCGCUCGUCCCGUCCCUCUCCAUGGUCCAUGCUCCCUGCUCUGCCCUGACGCGCGCUGCACUGCACCGCACGUAGCCCUGCUGCCUGCCCGCCGAGGACGGCGACCUUCCCUUCCCCGCCUCUCCGGCUCUCCCCCCGCAGCAGUUACUCGCCUGUCCUGCGCAAAAAAGUUCUCUCUGAGCCCUCGCCCAUCCCCUGCUCGAUAAAAGUUCGCAAUGCAGCUCCAUGCCCGCCAUUAAUGCCCUCCCUUCCUUCCUCGGCAGCUCUCGCUCAGAGAUUCCCCCUCCGUCUCGCUCCCGCUGUUGCCCUUCUCGUGCGUGCUCGAUCUGCUCUGCUUCCGUCCCGCUGGGAGCUUUUCCCCGGGCUUGGAGCCAUCUGCUUGUCCUCGUGUUCCCCUGCCCGCCCACGCCCUCGCACCCGCACCCUGUCCAAAAAGUUUCAAUCUUGGAGCCACCCUCUUAUUGUUAUCCCCCCUACUCCUCCUCCUCCUCCUCCUCCCCAUCUCUCUCCUCUCUCAUCCAGCCACGCUUCCCCCUCGUUUGCUUGGCCCUUGCUGUCCUCCGCAACCGCGGCUCCAAUAAAAGCUCCUGCGCCGCAGCCGUCUCCACUUCAGUCGCCCACCUCCUGUGCGGCAAGCGGGAUUGAAUUUUGGCCGGAGCCUUCAGGUUCAGCCCUUCAGGUACCUCUAUCCAGCGCCUACCUAGCACCAGCGAUUUCUUCUUGGAGUAGCAGAAUUCCCUCUCUGCUCUCCUCUGAUUGCUCCAAGGAAAAUAAAAAUGCAGGUUCUGGAGGCGCGCGCCGGGUGAUUCCUCCAUUCUCGAAAGCUUCCGCCGUCUCGGAGGUAACCCCGCCCCGCUGUUUUCUUGCUCGCCGGGAAGCUACCAGAUUUUGGUGGCACCCGGCGAGCCAAUUCUGGCCAUGAUCUUGUAUUUUGUGCCGCCCGAUGGAUGGAUGGACGGAACAGCCGCAAGAGUCCAAACACCUUUUUCUUUGGAUGCUCUGCUAGUCCCCUCCGGCGCUGAUUUCGAGCCAGCCAGGCGAAUUGACGCUGGCUCCGCGAUCUUGCAGGUGUACAUUUUGGCAGUCUGCCAUUGCCGAGGGUGGGGGAGAGGUGCUUCGGUCUCGCCGGGGGGGAUGGAGGGCCGGGGGAGGCGGCCGCGGAGCCCGGAGCGGCAGAGGCCGCCGGCGAGGAAGGUGCCGGUGGUGUACUACCUCACGCGGAGCCGCCACCUCGAGCACCCGCACUUCGUCGAGGUGCCGGCGCCCUCCUCCUCCGAGGGGCUCUACCUCAGAGGUCAGUGCACGGACGGACGCCGCCACAUGGCCCCCGCGUGGAGCGCAAUCAGUCUGCUUGUACUGCAACUUGUGUAAUGGCGAUUGCUUGAUUGAUUGCUUGCUUGAUUGCUUUGGUGCGCAGAUGUGAUUCGGCACCUCAACAUGGUGCGCGGCAAGGGCAUGGCCUCCAUGUACUCCUGGUCCUGCAAGAGGUAAACCAACCAAGCAACCAAGCGAAAUUCUCUGAAUUUUCUGAACUCCAUGCACUCCAUGAGUUGUCUGAACUUUGGCGAGCUUGACAAAAAGUUUUCUGAAUUUUUGAACAGGAGCUACAAGAACGGAUUCGUGUGGCAUGAUCUCGCCGAGGACGACCUCGUCCUCCCUGCCACCGACGGCGAGUACGUGAUCAAGGGCUCCGAGAUCCUGGACCAACCUUCUUCAGGUAAUUUUUUUGGUUCCCUUCGAGCUGCCAUUUGCUCUUGUGAACAUUGCCUGGGAACUUGAGUGCUGAUUGGUGUUGCCAUACCAUCUUUUGCCCGUUUGUUUAAAUAUGCAGGUCAAUUUCACCAUGGCAGUAAUGGCAACCAGAAGCAGCAGAGCAGGCAGAAAGAGGGUAGUACAAGGUUGCCUCGGUCAAGGGAGGCCUCCUUCUCCUCCUCCCCACCUAGUGUGACAGUUAGAGAAGCCAAGCCUCGGCGCGUGCCUUCGGUGCCUUCGCGAGAGGAGGACGACUCCCCCUCGCCGUGCCGGGGCACCUCCUCGGAGACAAUGUCGCCGGAAUCGGAGCCUCAGAGGACUGUCAUGUCACGGCCGACGCCGGCAGAAUUCAGGGUUUUCAAGCCCACCGGUUUGAUGGAUGCCGCAACUCAAACCGAUGAUCUCGGGAGAAGGUCGGCUCGGAGAGUACCUGAGAUGCAUAAGAAGAGCCUGAGCACUGAUCAUGACGUCCGUGAGGUCACCGAGUACCGGCAGCAGAGCCAUCCUCGCCGGUCGGCCGAGCUCCAGGGGAUCUCCAGGGAUGUCAUGUCCCACUGUGCCACCCCACUGAGCAUGGCUUCAACCCAUGGAAAGUCCGAGAGCUUGGAGUCGUUGAUACGAGCCGACAACGCGUCAGCCAACAGCUUCAGGAUCCUGGAAGAGGACGACAUUGUCGUGCCGACCUGCCCGAAGCUGAGGCCGGCGAAUGUGCUGAUGCAGCUCAUCACCUGUGGUUCACUUUCAGUCAAGGAUCAUGACAACAUUGGGCUUGUUGGGGCUUACAAGCCAAGGUUCCCAAACUUGAAGUUCCCAUCGCCGCUGAUUUCUCGCUCCAUGAUGAUGGGUGAGCUCGAUUACCUAUCAGAGAACCCCAGAUUCAUUGGGACACGGAUUGAAGAUAAGGAGUAUUUUAGUGGGAGCAUUAUUGAGACCAAGACGCAGAGAGACGUUCCCACCGAGAGGCACUCGGUGCUUAAGCGGUCUUCUUCCUACAAUGCAGAAAGGUAAAAUUUCCAGUGCUUCCACAUUACAUUUCGGUUGUGCUUAAAUAACUUAGAAUUUAUAAUUUUUCCCUUCUGUGCUCAGAUAAUUUAAGGCUAUUUGUGUUACUUGGGCUAUGGCACUGGUUGAGAAAACAGCACAUUAGGUUCAGUGGCCAUUCAAAAUUUCUGGCUAAUUCUGUAGCGGUUUUGCUGUCUCAGAAAAUACUUGACAGCUUCAUACUUUACCUUGGUGUUUUUAGCAUGCCAACUUAGAUUUGAUUGAUUGGGUGCUUCAUUUUGCAAAAUCAUCUGUACUUUGUGGUCAUGAGAUGUUAGCGUUUGAAAUAUGGAUAUUGAAGCUGAACUUUUGCAGUGAUUGCUCAUUUAAGAGCAUUGAGUUGCGCAUAGAAAGGGGUGGGGGCUUAGGCUGGGCUCGGAGAAUUUAGAGAUAGGAAAAGAGCCACGUACCAUAUAGAUUUUAUGAAUUCAAGGACCAUUGCUUUUCCGUCAUUUAGUGAUGCCCAGACUCUAGAUGAGGCCAUUUUGCAGUUAGCUCGGUGCCAACGGCACUAGACGAUCAUGUCCUGUGUUGCCAUGGUGCAGCUGGCAUCCAUGUAGCAAACAAAAUACUCCCUCUGUAAACUAAUAUAAGAGCGUUUAGAUCACUAUUUUGGUAUUCUAAACGCUUUUAUAUUAGUUUACGGAGGGAGUAACAAAGUACAGGGAAUCUACUGGAAAAACUGAGGUCAGGACAUUGCAAAAUUGGUAGAUGCGCCUACUAAGAGAGCGGAAAUUUUACUUUUGCCCGUUUCGCCUUGGUAGUUUUGUUUUGGACAGUACCAUACAUAGUUUGCCCUGUGCUACAAAUUACGGUUAGUUAGUAGUAGAUAAAGAACGUGAAGAUUGGUGCAAGCAGGAGUUACUGAAAGUAAAGGGUGACAAUUUUCGUGUGAAGAUUUUGCCCCCCAACAGGGCAGCCUCCUGUUACUCCUUUUUGUCACUACUCCAAUUCUACAGCUUUAAUUCUGUGGCAGUAACUUCACUUGUUCAUUGCCAGCCACAACACGAGCAUAUGUCAGAUAUAGUGUAGAGGACCACACUACAUAGCUGGCUGGCGAGAUUCUUCAGUUGCUCAACUGAAAAUGUAGGAGUAGCAGGUAUCCUAUUGCUUCAUACUGAUCAACAGUGUUUGUUGCUAUCCUAGAAGAAUUGUCACUGUUAUAGACGGACAGAUCCGUGAACUGUACUGCAAAUGCCAGCGCAGUUCAUGCGCCGAUCCCGAUCCCGGCUGGACCAUUUUCUGUUUCACCCUAUUAGAAUCCAAAAGAUUUAGGUAAGAUACGUCUGAAUUUUGUUAGCAGGAGAUUUGGUCGUUGGCACAACAGUUGUUUCAGUUCAGAGGCAGUAACUUUUCCUUGUCAUUUGCCUGGGACCUUACUUGCUUACCAUGCGAGUUUCAUCGGUUUUCAGUUAAUUCAUUCAUGUGGUGGUGUUCUUGACCAUGAAUGAUCUCACAGGGGCGGCGAGAACCUCUGCGACUGCGCGGGGCCCGACGAAGAAGAGAUGGUACCGCGCUCGAGGUGCCUGCCCCGGACGCCGAUACUGUCAUCCUUGCUGCACCCGAAGAGUGAGAUGCAGAAGUCCCCGGUGUCGGACUGCCGGAGGAGCUCCUCGGCCGGGCCGGACUCGAUAGACGGCGGGAGCAGGCGGUUCACCGACGCGUCGUCGAGGGUAGAGUCCUUCAGGAAGGAGAACAAGGAGAAGCUCGUCAAGAUCGAGGAAAGUUAAGUGCUCCAACUUUUUGUCACUGCACUGGGUAUGCACUCGAUGCUUUGAAAUAUUCCCUUUGCAACAUAUCGAAUAUCCCGCACGAUAUGCGAUGAUGGUAUUGAGGUUUUUGUUGUGGAUUGUGUGCGCAGGUUGUCGUCGGGAGCUCGCGUCGUGAUCCAGUGCACCGUGCCCUGCGACGACGGUGACGAAGAUGCAUUCUGAAGCCUCCUGGACUUGCAGCUGACCUGGCCGCGUGACGUGGCGUUCUCUUUGCUUCUUUAGAUGAUGAAUGAGUUACUGACGAAUUUGUGUUUUCUUUCUUGAGAUGUGUAGUAUGUUAGCUUUAUUCUUCAGGUGUAAUGUAUUUUUUUUGUCUGUUCUUUGGUUUGGUUGAAAUUUUGUCCUUGUUAUCAGUUGUAGUAAGUGCCUGUUAAUGCCAUUUUGUGCUCGUUAUUAGUUGGGUAAGUGCCUGUUAAUGCCAAAGCUUUAUGGUUUAAUCUGUGCUUACCAGAAUUAUGUGCGUUGAUAGGUGUUUUUUGCAUUAAAAAACUCACUAGAAACAGGAAAUGCAUGUUUAACUUUUCUUCAGCAUAAGAAAUGCAUGUGUAUUAGGAGUAGUUUUUUAUAGAAUGGCUAAUUAUAUUGAUAAAAAAGUGUAAUAUUUGGUACAAUAAUAAGUAGACCGAAGAAAACACGAAUCAGUAAGUAAAAGUGAAAGUUAUGUCAUUAGGCCAAACCUCUACAGAAGUUUUCUCGUUGUUGCUUUGAAGAAAAAUGAAAUGAUCCUGUAAGUUUUUUUUUUGAGAGCAUGAUCCCGUAAGUUUUCUCAGCACAGGAAAUGUACUUCUUUUUUAGACAAGCACAGGAAAUGUACUUGUAAGUGUGAUUUUGAGUUUUUGAUAUACAUGCGCUUUUAAGGGGAGCAACUAGUUAACAAGCGCUCCUUCGGGAGCCUUGCAACGAUCAGCGUCACUUGGCGCGCUCUCAGCCAUUCGCCACGUGUCGCGCUCUGGACGCUUCCUUCGGAUUUUGUUUUUUUUUUAAAAAAAUCGCACGCGUUUUCGGCUUUUUAAACGGUUUUUUCCGGGGUUUUUCGAUGUUUUGGUUUCUCCCCGGUCUUUCUUAGCUUUUCGAUAAAAAAAUCGAUUUUUUUUCACGAAAAAACGCGUUUUCUUUUUUUUUCUUUCGUGAAAGUCACGGUUUUUCUUCCGCGAGAGGCACGGUUGUGCUUUAGCGAGAGUCACAGCCGUGCCUCUCGGAAAUGAAAAAAAAGUGUUUUCUGUUUUUUUUCUUUCGCGAGAGUCCCGGUUUUGCUUUCGCGAGAGGCACGGUUGUGCUUUCGCGGGAGUCACGGCCGUGCCUCUCGGAAAGGGAAAAACAAAACGCGUUUUCUGUUUUUUUUNNNNNNNNNNNNNNNNNNNNNNNNNNNNNNNNNNNNNNNNNNNNNNNNNNNNNNNNNNNNNNNNNNNNNNNNNNNNNNNNNNNNNNNNNNNNNNNNNNNNNNNNNNNNNNNNNNNNNNNNNNNNNNNNNNNNNNNNNNNNNNNNNNNNNNNNNNNNNNNNNNNNNNNNNNNNNNNNNNNNNNNNNNNNNNNNNNNNNNNNNNNNNNNNNNNNNNNNNNNNNNNNNNNNNNNNNNNNNNNNNNNNNNNNNNNNNNNNNNNNNNNNNNNNNNNNNNNNNNNNNNNNNNNNNNNNNNNNNNNNNNNNNNNNNNNNNNNNNNNNNNNNNNNNNNNNNNNNNNNNNNNNNNNNNNNNNNNNNNNNNNNNNNNNNNNNUUUUUUCUUUCGCGAGAGUCACGGUUGUGCUUUCGCGAGAGUCACGGGCGUGCCUCUCGGAAACGAAAAAAAAAAA